RNAcentral lists this ribosomal RNA (171 nucleotides) under Triticum aestivum (bread wheat). RNAcentral describes it as "partial small subunit ribosomal RNA". Lineage: Eukaryota; Viridiplantae; Streptophyta; Magnoliopsida; Poales; Poaceae. The record is from RNAcentral.
AUGGCUUUUACAGAUAGCAGGCAAUUCAAAAAUGCACUAGUUAAAUAUGGUCUGAAGAAUUUCCAUCAUUUGAUAUUUCCCAAAGAUGAGAAGAAGAGAGUGAGUGCCAAGUGUAGCUGGACUGGUUGCAAGUGGAGCAUAUAUGGGUCAAUAAAUAGCAAAUCCGACUGA